This 468-nucleotide ribosomal RNA is filed under the name uncultured bacterium. Its description in RNAcentral is "partial 16S ribosomal RNA". It matches the Rfam family "Bacterial small subunit ribosomal RNA", at positions 28 to 507 of the family's 1533-position model. The record is from RNAcentral.
GACGAACGCUGGCGGCGUGCUUAACACAUGCAAGUCGAACGGAAAGGCCCUGCUUUUGUGGGGUGCUCGAGUGGCGAACGGGUGAGUAACACGUGAGUAACCUGCCCUUGACUUUGGGAUAACAUCAGGAAACUGGGGCUAAUACCGGAUAGGAGCUCCUGCUGCAUGGUGGUGGUUGGAAAGUUUCGGCGGUUGGGGAUGGACUCGCGGCUUAUCAGCUUGUUGGUGGGGUAGUGGCUUACCAAGGCUUUGACGGGUAGCCGGCCUGAGAGGGUGACCGGCCACAUUGGGACUGAGAGACGGCGCAGACGCGUACGGGAGGCAGCAGUGGGGAAUCUUGCACAAUGGGCGGAAGCCUGAUGCAGCAACGCCGCGUGCGGGAUGACGGCCUUCGGGUUGUAAACCGCUUUCGCCUGUGACGAAGCGUGAGUGACGGUAAUGGGUAAAGAAGCACCGGCUAACUACGUG